GAUCCUGCCGGACCCGACUGCUAUUUGGGUGAGAUUAAGCCAUGCAAGUCGAAUGGGAUACCUAAAUUUCCCAUGGCGCACUGCUCAGUAACACAUGAUUAACUUACCCUAUGGAGAAAAAUAACCUUCGGGAAACUGAGGAUAAUAUUUCAUAGUUGAGAAGGCUUGGAAAAGUUUUUCAAUCAAAAGGAUAAGAUAAAUGGUUCUUAUCCGCCAUAGGAUAGGAUCGUGGUCGAUUAUGGUUGUUGGCGAGGUAAUGGCUCACCAAGCCGAUAAUCGAUAGGGGCCGUGAGAGCGGGAGCCCCGAGAUGGGUACUGAGACAACGACCCAGGCCUUACGAGGCGCAGCAGGCGCGAAACCUCCGCAAUACACGCAAGUGUGACGGGGUCACCCAAAGUGUCCUUCAUAGGACUGUGAUAGGUGGGUAAUAUCUCCUAUCAGAAAGGAGAGGGCAAGGCUGGUGCCAGCCGCCGCGGUAAAACCAGCUCUUCAAGUGGUCGGGAUCUUUAUUGGGCUUAAAGUGUCCGUAGCCGGUUUAGUAAGUUCCUGGUAAAAUCGGAUAGCUUAACUAUUCGCAUGCUAGGAAUACUGCUAUACUAGAGGGCGGGAGAGGUCUGGGGUACUACUAGGGUAGGGGUGAAAUCUUAUAAUCCUUUUAGGACCACCAGUGGCGAAGGCGUCAGACUGGAACGCGCCUGACGGUGAGGGACGAAAGCUAGGGGAGCGAACCGGAUUAGAGACCCGGGUAGUCCUAGCCGUAAACGAUGCAUACUAGGUGAUGGCACGGCCAUGAGCCGUGUCAGUGCCGUAGGGAAACCGUUAAGUGUGCCGCCUGGGAAGUACGGUCGCAAGGCUGAAACUUAAAGGAAUUGGCGGGGGAGCACCACAAGGGAUGAAGCCUGCGGUUUAAUUGGAUUCAACGCCGGG
Molecule: ribosomal RNA, 928 nt
Filed under: uncultured archaeon
Lineage: Archaea
Description: bacterial SSU rRNA
Rfam family: Archaeal small subunit ribosomal RNA
Source: RNAcentral